GACGAACGCUGGCGGCGUGCCUAAUACAUGCAAGUCGAGCGAGCUUGCCUAGAUGAAUUUGGUGCUUGCACCAAAUGAAACUAGAUACAAGCGAGCGGCGGACGGGUGAGUAACACGUGGGUAACCUGCCCAAGAGACUGGGAUAACACCUGGAAACAGAUGCUAAUACCGGAUAACAACACUAGACGCAUGUCUAGAGUUUAAAAGAUGGUUCUGCUAUCACUCUUGGAUGGACCUGCGGUGCAUUAGCUAGUUGGUAAGGUAACGGCUUACCAAGGCAAUGAUGCAUAGCCGAGUUGAGAGACUGAUCGGCCACAUUGGGACUGAGACACGGCCCAAACUCCUACGGGAGGCAGCAGUAGGGAAUCUUCCACAAUGGACGCAAGUCUGAUGGAGCAACGCCGCGUGAGUGAAGAAGGGUUUCGGCUCGUAAAGCUCUGUAGGUAGUGAAGAAAGAUAGAGGUAGUAACUGGCCUUUAUUUGACGGUAAUUACUUAGAAAGUCACGGCUAACUACGUGCCAGCAGCCGCGGUAAUACGUAGGUGGCAAGCGUUGUCCGGAUUUAUUGGGCGUAAAGCGAGUGCAGGCGGUUCAAUAAGUCUGAUGUGAAAGCCUUCGGCUCAACCGGAGAAUUGCAUCAGAAACUGUUGAACUUGAGUGCAGAAGAGGAGAGUGGAACUCCAUGUGUAGCGGUGGAAUGCGUAGAUAUAUGGAAGAACACCAGUGGCGAAGGCGGCUCUCUGGUCUGCAACUGACGCUGAGGCUCGAAAGCAUGGGUAGCGAACAGG
This 788-nucleotide ribosomal RNA is filed under the name uncultured Lactobacillus sp. RNAcentral's name for it is "bacterial SSU rRNA". It matches the Rfam family "Bacterial small subunit ribosomal RNA", at positions 28 to 776 of the family's 1533-position model. Lineage: Bacteria; Bacillati; Bacillota; Bacilli; Lactobacillales; Lactobacillaceae. The record is from RNAcentral.